RNAcentral lists this ribosomal RNA (497 nucleotides) under uncultured bacterium. RNAcentral describes it as "partial 16S ribosomal RNA". It matches the Rfam family "Bacterial small subunit ribosomal RNA", at positions 28 to 507 of the family's 1533-position model. The record is from RNAcentral.
GAUGAACGCUGGCGGCGUGCCUAAUACAUGCAAGUCGAGCGAACGGACGAGAAGCUUGCUUUUCUGAUGUUAGCGGCGGACGGGUGAGUAACACGUGGAUAACCUACCUAUAAGACUGGGAUAACUUCGGGAACCCGGAGCUAAUACCGGAUAAUAUUUUGAACCUCAUGGUUCAAAAGUGAAAGACGGUCUUGCUGUCACUUAUAGAUGGAUCCGCGCUGCAUUAGCUAGUUGGUAAGGUAACGGCUUACCAAGGCAACGAUGCAUAGCCGACCUGAGAGGGUGAUCGGCCACACUGGAACUGAGACACGGUCCAGACUCCUACGGGAGGCAGCAGUAGGGAAUCUUCCGCAAUGGGCGAAAGCCUGACGGAGCAACGCCGCGUGAGUGAUGAAGGUCUUCGGAUCGUAAAACUCUGUUAUUAGGGAAGAACAUAUGUGUAAGUAACUGUGCACAUCCUGACGGUACCUAAUCAGAAAGCCACGGCUAACUACGUG